GACGAAGGGGGCGAGCGUUGUUCGGAAUCACUGGGCGUAAAGCGCACGUAGGCGGCGACGUAAGUUGGGUGUGAAAUCCCUCGGCCCAACCGAGGAACUGCGCCCAGUACUGCGUUGCUUGAGGAUCCAAGGGGUGCAUGGAAUUCCCGGUGGAGCGGUGAAAUGCGUUGAUAUCGGGAGGAACUCCGGCGGCGAAAGCGGUGCACUGGUGGAUUACUGACGCUGAGGUGCGAAAGCCAGGGGAGCAAACGGG
Molecule: ribosomal RNA, 253 nt
Filed under: uncultured bacterium
Lineage: Bacteria
Description: partial 16S ribosomal RNA
Rfam family: Bacterial small subunit ribosomal RNA
Source: RNAcentral